RNAcentral lists this ribosomal RNA (1233 nucleotides) under metagenome. RNAcentral's name for it is "bacterial LSU rRNA". It matches the Rfam family "Bacterial large subunit ribosomal RNA", at positions 1564 to 2808 of the family's 2925-position model. The record is from RNAcentral.
UGAAUACGAGAUGCUAAGGCGUCGAAGUAGUGUAUGUCAUGCUUCCAAGAAAAGCUUGCACUGUCAAAGUAAAAAAUGCCUGUACCAUAACCGACACAGGUGGGUAAGUAGAGUAUACUAAGGGGCGCGAGAUAACUCUCUCUAAGGAACUCGGCAAAAUGACUCCGUAACUUCGGGAGAAGGAGUGCCUUAUUUUUAAGGUUGCAAUAACAAGAUCCAAGCAACUGUUUAUCAAAAACACAGGUCUCCGCUAAGUCGUAAGACGAUGUAUGGGGGCUGACGCCUGCCCAGUGCCAGAAGGUUAAAGAAGUCGGUUAGCAAUUGCGAAGCUGGUAACUGAAGCUCUGGUGAACGGCGGCCGUAACAAUAACGGUCCUAAGGUAGCGAAAUUCCUUGUCGGGUAAGUUCCGACCCGCACGAAAGGCGUAAUGAUUUGGAUGCUGUCUCGGAGAGAGGCUCGGUGAAAUAGACUUGUCUGUGAAGAUGCGGACUACCUGCACCAGGACAGAAAGACCCUAUGAAGCUUUACUGUAACUUGAAAUUGAAAUUGGACUUUAUUCGCGCAGUAUAGGUGGGAGGCGUUGAUUAUAAUCUUGUGGGAUUAUUGGAGCCAUCAGUGAGAUACCACUCUUGUAAUGUUAGAUUUCUAACUUUGAAUCAUUAUCUGGUCAAAGGACAAUUUCAGGCGGGCAGUUUGACUGGGGCGGUCGCCUCCUAAAUGGUAACGGAGGCGUACAAAGGUUUCCUCUGAACGGUUAGAAAUCGUAUCUAGAGUGUAAAGGCAUAAGGAAGCUUGACUGUGAGACCUACAAGUCGAGCAGGGACGAAAGUCGGUCUUAGUGAUCUGACGGUACUGAGUGGAAAGGCCGUCACUCAACGGAUAAAAGUUACUCUAGGAUAACAGGCUGAUCUCCCCCAAGAGUUCACAUCGACGGGGAGGUUUGGCACCUCGAUGUCGGCUCAUCGCAUCCUGGGGCGGUAGUACGUCCCAAGGGUUGGGCUGUUCGCCCAUGAAAGCGGUACGCGAGCUGGGUUCAGAACGUCGUGAGACAGUUCGGUCCAUAUCCGGUGUAGGCGUUAGAAUAUUGAGAGGAGCCUUCUUUAGUACGAGAGGACCGAGAAGGACAUACCUCUGGUGUACCAGUUAUCGUGCCAACGGUAAACGCUGGGUAGCUAUGUAUGGAGUGGAUAACCGCUGAAAGCAUCUAAGUGGGAAGCCCACCUCAAGAUAAG